CCUAGCUUCGGCUGAACAUAUGCUAUAAUUGGAAUGCUGCAGAGAAGAUUAGCACGGCCUCUGCGCAAGAAUGGCAUGCAAAAUCGUUGGGCGUUCCACAUUUUU
Topomyia yanbarensis is the source of this 105-nucleotide small nuclear RNA. The record is from RefSeq and is a predicted model, not a curated record. Lineage: Eukaryota; Metazoa; Arthropoda; Insecta; Diptera; Culicidae.